CAGUAGCCACGGUAAGACAGAGGAUGCAAGCGUUGUCCGGAAUUAUUGGGCGUAAAGGGCUCGCAGGCGGUUUCUUAAGUCUGAUGUGAAAGCCCCCGGCUCAACCGGGGAGGGUCAUUGGAAACUGGGAAACUUGAGUGCAGAAGAGGAGAGUGGAAUUCCACGUGUAGCGGUGAAAUGCGUAGAGAUGUGGAGGAACACCAGUGGCGAAGGCGACUCUCUGGUCUGUAACUGACGCUGAGGAGCGAAAGCGUGGGGAGCGAACAGGAUUAGAUACCCCUGUAGUCCCUGUCUCUUAUAA
Molecule: ribosomal RNA, 301 nt
Filed under: uncultured bacterium
Lineage: Bacteria
Description: partial 16S ribosomal RNA
Rfam family: Bacterial small subunit ribosomal RNA
Source: RNAcentral